ACCCGGAUAGCCUGAAGGUGAGGUAUUCGACUCCAAAUCGUUCAUUCUGGGUUCGAGUCCCAGUACGGGCA
This 71-nucleotide transfer RNA is filed under the name Fasciola gigantica. It matches the Rfam family "tRNA". Rfam says of the family: Transfer RNA (tRNA) molecules are approximately 80 nucleotides in length. Their secondary structure includes four short double-helical elements and three loops (D, anti-codon, and T loops). Lineage: Eukaryota; Metazoa; Platyhelminthes; Trematoda; Plagiorchiida; Fasciolidae. The record is from Rfam by way of RNAcentral.